AUGCAACUCUAUGCAGCUUUUCAAAUGCAAUAUGAUUUUAACCAACAAGCACAGCAAGUAAUCUGGGUUGAUGCAUUUUAUUAUUUUUUAAUUUUAUUUAUUUUUUACUGUACACAGAAACCUAUACCUCUUCCAGCAAUGCACUGCAGCACACUUCGUCUCCCCUCUGCGUUCAUGAAUUGGACCUGCGGCCAUUGUCUCGGUGUCAAUCACACACUCUCACACACAUACCCAGGAGACACACAUUUGACAUUUGGUGGAUUGCUCUGUGUGUGUGAGUAUGAGAGUGUAUGUGUGUGUUUUAGGUUAUUAAGAUAAGGCAGGUAUGCCGUAGGUUCUUCAUUAACAUGUUAGGGGAUCUCAUCAUCCUUUCUCCUCUAGCACUGUGGCCGUAAUUGAGUAAGGCUAUUAGACACAGAGUGAUCGUGCCUAUGUGAUGGCAGGAGGGGGAUGGUGGCGUGGCCAAUGGUGGAGGAUGGAGUCUUAUAACUGCAUGACACAGUGUGUGUGUGUGUGUAUAUGUGUGCUGAUGGGAUAGGGCUAUUAAAGAUGAUGUCGGUUUAGGUAGACUUGAAUAGUCCUGUUAAGCAGCGGGUAAUUGCCUGUAUCCUGAGAAGAGUGGAGAGACUGAUUCAGAGGUGCCUGCGUUUAAGUGGACCCCUUGGAGGGGCGAAUUUUAAGCUGUACAUUGUGGCUAUAGUCCCACUUGACAUCUGUAACUACACAAUAUGAAUGUGAGAAAUGGUUAUAUGAGUAUACUCUAAAUACUUAAUAAUACUGACCAUGUAUUUCUUAAUAGUCUUAAAUUGAUCUUGAAUUUGUCUUUUAUAAAAUGCUUAAUAUAUAACAAUCAUUUUUAUCUAAUAUAUUAUCAUUUUAAUUAUAUUAUAUUAUGAGAAUGUUUCUACCAACUCUUCUAGAUGUUGUAAUGAGCAAUUGUUAGCUUACGGAUCUAUUUCUACUUGAUCUAACCCAUAAAAAAGAACUUUGUGAUGUAUUUAGUUUGUUUCAGUCAUAUUUCAUAUUCAUAUUUUUGACUUUAAUAAAUCAUUUAG
Long non-coding RNA from Cyprinus carpio (common carp), 1055 nucleotides. The record is from Ensembl. NCBI's taxonomy places the organism in Eukaryota, Metazoa, Chordata, Actinopteri, Cypriniformes, Cyprinidae.